Molecule: long non-coding RNA, 651 nt
Organism: Rana temporaria (common frog)
Lineage: Eukaryota; Metazoa; Chordata; Amphibia; Anura; Ranidae
Exons: 4
Source: RefSeq, a predicted model, not a curated record
GUCUCUAUAGAAGACAGGAAGUGAUGUCAGGAACACACAGGAAGUUCCUUGUGGCACGAAGCAAAAAGGGGUCAUUGUUGGAACUUGUCGGCAGAUGAGCAGAUGAUGAUACACACAUAUUUAGUGUGGAAACAUAGAUUUACCCCUUCAGGGUCAGAACAUUUCUACACUUACUGGGCCGGAAGAUUCCCUUCAUUUUUUACUUAAACUCUAAUUAUAUGGUCCUCGAAACAAACAGCACUGACAAUAAAUAGAAAAUCUAAAUCUAAUCAAAACUAGUUCAGAAACCCAACAGAGAAAAGGGAAUUUCUGAUCUUGUGAGCCAAGAGGUUCCCUGGACCUCGAAAAUGUAACAAACUCUAAAAAGAUCAAACUCAAUUUUCACAUGGGGAAAGUAGUUCUUAAAUGUACAGCAACCCUCCCCCCAACCACAAUCUUUUAAUGUGUGACCAAUACCAUGCAAAUAAUUCUUACUUUCAUUUCCCAAAGUUAUCCGUAUACAAGGAGACCUGUAGAGAUCAAACGACAAUACGAAGGGGAAUGGAGGAGAACCAGAGUCACAUGAAUGAAAAGAUCCUAAAACUCACCCUGGAGAUCAUUUAUCUGCUGACCGGAGAGAGAUUUCCUCUUGUGAAGUCAGGUGAUCACAUG